Molecule: ribosomal RNA, 468 nt
Filed under: uncultured Rhodocyclaceae bacterium
Lineage: Bacteria; Pseudomonadati; Pseudomonadota; Betaproteobacteria; Rhodocyclales; Rhodocyclaceae
Description: bacterial SSU rRNA
Rfam family: Bacterial small subunit ribosomal RNA
Source: RNAcentral
AGACGGGACCCGCACAAGCGUGGAUGAUGUGGAUUAAUUCGAUGCAACGCGAAAACCUUACCUACCUUGACAUGUCCGGAAUCCCGAAGAGAUUUGGGAGUGCUCGCAAGAGAGCCGGAACACAGGUGCUGCAUGGCUGUCGUCAGCUCGUGUCGUGAGAUGUUGGGUUAAGUCCCGCAACGAGCGCAACCCUUGUCAUUAGUUGCCAUCAUUUGGUUGGGCACUCUAAUGAGACUGCCGGUGACAAACCGGAGGAAGGUGGGGAUGACGUCAAGUCCUCAUGGCCCUUAUGGGUAGGGCUUCACACGUCAUACAAUGGUCGGUACAGAGGGUUGCCAACCCGCGAGGGGGAGCUAAUCCCACAAAGCCGAUCGUAGUCCGGAUCGCAGUCUGCAACUCGACUGCGUGAAGUCGGAAUCGCUAGUAAUCGUGGAUCAGCAUGUCACGGUGAAUACGUUCCCGGGUCUU